UACGUAGGGGGCGAGCGUUGUCCGGAUUUAUUGGGCGUAAAGAGCGUGUAGGCGGCCAGGUAGGUCUGCUGUGAAAACUCGAGGCUCAACCUCGAGAUGUCAUCGGAAACCAUUUGGCUAGAGUCCGGAAGAGGAAAGUGGAAUUCCUAGUGUAGCGGUGGAAUGCGCAGAUAUUAGGAGGAACACCAAUGGCGAAGGCAGCUCUCUGGUACGUGACUGACACUGAGACGCGAAAGCGUGGGGAGCGAACAGG
Molecule: ribosomal RNA, 253 nt
Filed under: uncultured bacterium
Lineage: Bacteria
Description: partial 16S ribosomal RNA
Rfam family: Bacterial small subunit ribosomal RNA
Source: RNAcentral